RNAcentral lists this ribosomal RNA (301 nucleotides) under uncultured bacterium. RNAcentral's name for it is "partial 16S ribosomal RNA". It matches the Rfam family "Bacterial small subunit ribosomal RNA", at positions 509 to 808 of the family's 1533-position model. The record is from RNAcentral.
CAGCCGCGCGGUAAUACAGAGGGUGCAAGCGUUAAUCGGAAUUACUGGGCGUAAAGCGCGCGUAGGUGGUUUGUUAAGUUGGAUGUGAAAUCCCAGGGCUCAACCUGGGAACUGCAUCCAAAACUGGCAAGCUAGAGUAUGGUAGAGGGUGGUGGAAUUUCCUGUGUAGCGGUGAAAUGCGUAGAUAUAGGAAGGAACACCUGUGGCGAAAGCGGCUCGCUGGACCAUAACUGACGCUGAUGCACGAAAGCUAGGGGAGCAAACAGGAUUAGAUACCCCAGUAGUCCCUGUCUCUUAUACA